Molecule: long non-coding RNA, 997 nt
Organism: Acyrthosiphon pisum (pea aphid)
Lineage: Eukaryota; Metazoa; Arthropoda; Insecta; Hemiptera; Aphididae
Exons: 3
Source: RefSeq, a predicted model, not a curated record
ACUCAUACACGAGCAUAAUUAAUAUUAUAUAUAGGUACAUAAAAAAAAAAAGAAUGGGCAUAACAUCGAUUACGUGGUGUGCGGAAAAAUAUCGGAAACACAUACGAUUGCUAAAUAUAAUAUAUAAAAACGCACAUUCGAUUAAUGUCUCGGUAUAGGUUCCUACGUGUAUAGUAAUAUAAUAUCCUAGUCCACUGCAACCGUGUAAUAUAAAAUACCGUAGGUAUAUGGUGCCACGAGGGUAUACCUACCUGCCUGCGAUAUAUUUUGAUCACCGAGCGUUGCAGUUUAUGAAAUUUACGAUUAAGCUCGGUGAUUAUCAUAUGGAUCCAAAGUCGAGACGGAAAAUUUCGGGACGUAAUAUCGGCGGUGGACGUUGAAGUUUGAGUUUGUCGCCAUCGUGUGGAAAUCGGCUGCGACGAAGAUCACUGUCGUGGCGACUCGCGUCAUCGUCGUAGUUAUUCGUUGCACUGUUGCCUGCUGGCACCCACCAACACGGUCGACGAAGACUCGAUGAGACGACUGAUGCUCUUGGGCCACCACCGCCGCCGCAGCCUAUUUGUCGUUCGUCGCCGUCGCUGUACCUUCGCCUCCGCUAGGAAAUCGUACUGUUGUGAUGGCAUCACUCCGCGGUGGUUGUCCUACUCGUUUGCUGGAGCGGCGGUAGUCGUGGUGGUCGUUGUCGUAAUCGUCUUCGUGAUCGUCGGCGGGUAUUCGUUGAACGAAACUGAUUAGCAGCUGCUGCUGUGACGUAUUAACGAUUUUCUUCUGCGGAGGAGUGGUGUCAGAAACAUAAUAUGCGUCUCAUGAACAGUCAGCAGUCUCCCUCUGGUUUCGUUUUAACUUAUAUUACCUACAUUUAUGUAAGGUGUUGUUAUAUAUAUCCAUAUGCCCAUAUAGGCUAUGUUAAUAUGUUAUUACUUAUUAUCAACGAACUCAUUAAUGAAAACACACUGAAAUUUAAUAAAAAUAUCUGGUACCUACACAGUACACUGUA